This 465-nucleotide ribosomal RNA is filed under the name uncultured bacterium. RNAcentral describes it as "partial 16S ribosomal RNA". It matches the Rfam family "Bacterial small subunit ribosomal RNA", at positions 28 to 507 of the family's 1533-position model. The record is from RNAcentral.
GACGAACGCUGGCGGCGUGCUUAACACAUGCAAGUCGAACGGAAAGGCCCUGCUUGCAGGGUACUUGAGUGGCGAACGGGUGAGUAACACGUGGGUGACCUGCCCUGCACUUCGGGUUAAGCUUGGGAAACUGGGUCUAAUACCGGAUAGGACCGCACUAUAGUGUGUGUGGUGGACAGAUUUUUCGGCGUAGGAUGAGCUGGCGGCCUAUCAGCUUGUUGGUGGGGUAAUGGCCUACCAAGGCGGCGACGCGUAGCUGGACUGAGAGGGUGUACGGCCACAUUGAGACUGAGAGACGGCCGAGACGCCGACGAGAGGCAGCAGUGGGGAAUAUUGCACAAGGGGCGCAGGCCUGAUGCAGCGGCUCCUCGUGGGGGAGAAAGGCCUUCGGGUUGAAGACGCCUAUCGCGAGGGACCAAGCUUGUUGUGACGGUACCUAGAUAAUAAGCACCGGCUAACUACGUG